This is a long non-coding RNA of Cyprinus carpio carpio, 1051 nucleotides long. Lineage: Eukaryota; Metazoa; Chordata; Actinopteri; Cypriniformes; Cyprinidae. The record is from Ensembl.
GUGGAGGUGUCUAAUCUGUAAGGCAUUUUGAUAUGAGGUGCUGCAGCAAACCCGAAGCGACAAAGAUUUGAACUACAAAAGCAAAUCCCCGCUGAGCCUUCAUGCAAAGCCAAACCUGAUGUGGAGAAGAUGAGGAUAAAUGUCUUUAGUGAGGCAGUUCGGACAGGAUUGUCUUUUCCAUUUGCCCCCCUCAUAGCAGCGGUGACAGAUUCUGCUCUUGGUGUGGGAUCUGCCAUCACACAUCAUCAGAUACGCGGUAUGGAUAGAUUGUCCAUGACGAAAGGCGGCAGGAAGGUAAACACCUGCUAGUCACUCCAACAUAACUGUGAGGCAUUUCUCUGGGGUCAACACUCUGUCUAGGUCAGAGUGACCAAAUAAUGACCUCUCACUGCCGUGACAUCUUGCACAUCUCUCUGGUGUUUUCUACCUCCAGACCAACAGCGGAUUUGUGAGAGGCUUCUGGACUUGCUGACUGUCAGAGAUCUCAAGAAGAACAUGCCGUUCUAAAUGAUGUCAUCGACUUGUCAACAAGCAUUAAAUCGUACAAGAAGAAGAAGAAGAAAUGACGUCAUCCUCCAGGAAGUGACAUCAUCAAUUUGGAGGGAAAUCAACAGCACAAACAACAGAUUUAUAGACAGUUCCUGGACCCACAGGGGAAGCUGUUGGAAAGUAUGGAUAAUUGAAUGCCCCAUACCAGCAGACCAGGCCAUUUGGCGUAGCUGAUAUGUCAUGUGCUUAUAAAGGUGUGGAAUGUGAUGACAGUUGCCAUGGAAACCUGCAGACAGUUCGGGGUCAGAGUGGACAGACAUGAGCAGGCAUGAAAAAAAUAAACUCAAUAACUAACAAUAAAUCCAGCAUUGCUAAUCCUUGUCCACUUAGUGUCUGCACGUAAAACAAAAUGUUUGCAAAACUAUUAUUUAUUUAUUUAUAGUUUGUUCUUUUAUUUAAUGCACAAAAGUGCAGCUUAAGUAUUAGAAAUGUAAGGUAUUUGUGUAUUUAAUGGCAUCUGACAAUUUAGCUCUAUCUAUUUUAAACAACGCCUACGUUUAUG